This 90-nucleotide transfer RNA is filed under the name Caldicellulosiruptor bescii. RNAcentral's name for it is "tRNA_Ser_GGA". It matches the Rfam family "tRNA". Rfam says of the family: Transfer RNA (tRNA) molecules are approximately 80 nucleotides in length. The record is from RNAcentral. Lineage: Bacteria; Bacillati; Bacillota; Caldicellulosiruptorales; Caldicellulosiruptoraceae.
GGAGAGAUGGCCGAGUGGUCGAAGGCGCACGACUGGAAAUCGUGUGUACCCCCAAAAGGGGUACCGUGGGUUCAAAUCCCACUCUCUCCG